RNAcentral lists this ribosomal RNA (253 nucleotides) under uncultured bacterium. Its description in RNAcentral is "partial 16S ribosomal RNA". It matches the Rfam family "Bacterial small subunit ribosomal RNA", at positions 524 to 776 of the family's 1533-position model. The record is from RNAcentral.
UACGUAGGUGGCAAGCGUUGUCCGGAAUUAUUGGGCGUAAAGCGCGCGCAGGCGGUUUCUUAAGUCUGAUGUGAAAGCCCCCGGCUCAACCGGGGAGGGUCAUUGGAAACUGGGAAACUUGAGUGCAGAAGAGGAAAGUGGAAUUCCAAGUGUAGCGGUGAAAUGCGUAGAGAUUUGGAGGAACACCAGUGGCGAAGGCGACUUUCUGGUCUGUAACUGACGCUGAGGCGCGAAAGCGUGGGGAGCGAACAGG